AGCAGCCGCGGUAAUUCCAGCUCCAAUAGCGUAUAUUAAAGUUGUUGCAGUUAAAAAGCUCGUAGUUGAAUUUCGGGGUUAGUAGGCUGGUCGUGCCACAGGUAUGUACUGGUCUAACUGAUUCCUCCUUCCUGAUGAACCGUAAUGCCAUUAAUUUGGUGUUGCGGGGAGACUGGACUGUUACUUUGAAAAAAUUAGAGUAGUUUAAAGCAGGCUAACGCUUGAAUACAUUAGCAUGGAAUAAUGAAAUAGGACGUUCGAUCUUAUUUUGUUGGUUUCUAAGAUUGACGUAAUGAUUAAUAGGGAUAGUUGGGGGCAUUAGUAUUCAAUUGUCAGAGGCGAAAUUCUUGGAUUUAUUGAAGACUAACUACUGCGAAAGCAUUUGCCAAGGAUGUUUUCAUUAAUUCAAGAACGAAAGUUAGGGGAUCGAAGACGAUCAGAUACCGUCGUAGUCUUAACCAUA
This 463-nucleotide small RNA is filed under the name uncultured Glomus. Its description in RNAcentral is "SSU rRNA". It matches the Rfam family "Eukaryotic small subunit ribosomal RNA", at positions 569 to 1034 of the family's 1831-position model. The record is from RNAcentral. Lineage: Eukaryota; Fungi; Glomeromycota; Glomeromycetes; Glomerales; Glomeraceae.